GUACGGCCGCAAGGUUAAAACUCAAAUGAAUUGACGGGGGCCCGCACAAGCGGUGGAGCAUGUGGUUUAAUUCGAUGCAACGCGAAGAACCUUACCUGGUCUUGACAUCCACGGAAGUUUUCAGAGAUGAGAAUGUGCCUUCGGGAACCGUGAGACAGGUGCUGCAUGGCUGUCGUCAGCUCGUGUUGUGAAAUGUUGGGUUAAGUCCCGCAACGAGCGCAACCCUUAUCCUUUGUUGCCAGCGGUCCGGCCGGGAACUCAAAGGAGACUGCCAGUGAUAAACUGGAGGAAGGUGGGGAUGACGUCAAGUCAUCAUGGCCCUUACGACCAGGGCUACACACGUGCUACAAUGGCGCAUACAAAGAGAAGCGACCUCGCGAGAGCAAGCGGACCUCAUAAAGUGCGUCGUAGUCCGGAUUGGAGUCUGCAACUCGACUCCAUGAAGUCGGAAUCGCUAGUAAUC
This 463-nucleotide ribosomal RNA is filed under the name Escherichia coli. Its description in RNAcentral is "bacterial SSU rRNA". It matches the Rfam family "Bacterial small subunit ribosomal RNA", at positions 880 to 1343 of the family's 1533-position model. The record is from RNAcentral. Lineage: Bacteria; Pseudomonadati; Pseudomonadota; Gammaproteobacteria; Enterobacterales; Enterobacteriaceae.